GAGGGUAUAGCUCAGUGGUAGAGCUCAUGCUUAGCAUGCAUGAGGUCAUGGGUUCAAUCCCCAGUACCUCCA
RNAcentral lists this transfer RNA (72 nucleotides) under Camelus bactrianus (Bactrian camel). It matches the Rfam family "tRNA". From Rfam's summary of the family: Transfer RNA (tRNA) molecules are approximately 80 nucleotides in length. Their secondary structure includes four short double-helical elements and three loops (D, anti-codon, and T loops). RNAcentral also lists the same sequence under 2 other names. Lineage: Eukaryota; Metazoa; Chordata; Mammalia; Artiodactyla; Camelidae. The record is from Rfam by way of RNAcentral.